RNAcentral lists this ribosomal RNA (487 nucleotides) under uncultured bacterium. RNAcentral's name for it is "bacterial SSU rRNA". It matches the Rfam family "Bacterial small subunit ribosomal RNA", at positions 33 to 507 of the family's 1533-position model. The record is from RNAcentral.
AGACGACGCUGGCGGCGUGGAUUAGGCAUGCAAGUCGAACGGUAUCAUCCUUCGGGGAUGAGAGAGUGGCGAACGGGUGAGUAACACGUAGGUGAUCUACCCUCAAGACGGGGACAACCCAGGGAAACUUGGGCUAAUACCGGAUGUGAGCUAUCGCGAGAUAGUUUGAAAGGUGGCUUCGGCUGCCGCUUGAGGAUGAGCCUGCGUCCUAUUAGCUAGUUGGUGAGGUAACGGCUCACCGAGGCAGUGAUAGGUAGGCGGCCUUAACGGGUGGUCGCCCACACUGGGAUUGAGAUACGGCCCAGACUCCUACGGGAGGCAGCAGUCGAGAAUAGUCUACAAUGGUCGAAAGACUGAUAGUGCGACGCCGCGUGAACGAAGAAGCCCUUCGGGGUGUAAAGUUCUUUUAUAUGUGAGCAGUGACACCCAUAUUAAUAGUAUGGGUGUAGAGAUAUUAGCAUAUGAAUAAGCAACGGCUAACUCCGUG